AAGCUGUGAUGAUUACAGCGUAUACUAGUGGAGAUAGGGUUCUUCAUAAUUGUCUGAUUUAAAAAUGACUACCAAGCGCUUCUGAGCUU
Molecule: small nucleolar RNA, 89 nt
Organism: Hibiscus syriacus
Lineage: Eukaryota; Viridiplantae; Streptophyta; Magnoliopsida; Malvales; Malvaceae
Product: small nucleolar RNA snoR114
Exons: 1
Source: RefSeq, a predicted model, not a curated record